This 836-nucleotide long non-coding RNA is filed under the name Setaria viridis. RNAcentral describes it as "long non-coding RNA (SVIR_LNC007555)". Lineage: Eukaryota; Viridiplantae; Streptophyta; Magnoliopsida; Poales; Poaceae. The record is from RNAcentral.
AAAAUUAGUUUGUUUAUUGUUAAGCAUGUAGAGGAUUUGUAUUUAUACAUGUUUUUGAGCUAUAAUGUGCUGGAUAGUUUGAAUGUGAGGGAGAAAUGGAUAGUAAAUGUGAGGUAGAAUUGAGAUUAUUUCAAUUUUAUGUAUUAGGAAAAAAUUAGAGUAAAUGUGUUUUUAAUACUUAUAAAUUAGCUAUAUAAAUUGUAGGUGUAAUUUGAUACUUUAGUACUUUUCAGAUAGAGGUAUGCAAUUAGCCAUUUUUAGAAUAAGUAUUAUGUGGGAAAUAUUGAAUUUUUUAAUAGUUUAGUUAUUUGUAAAUUAAAUAUGAGUUAAAUAAUUUGUGGUACAUAGAGAUGGCUUCUAAUGCUAGAUGUAGUGGCGAUGGUGGAGGAGAUCGUCGUUCCUCUCGCGGCAAGGGGAAAAGCAAUGCUUCGUUAUUUGCAAAGAUGUCAUGAAGAUGCUAUUGCGGCGGGUCAGGAAUCUCCUUUUGGUGGUCGUUAUGCUCAACCGCCAAUCCCGGGUGUUUUAGAUGUUGGAGGUAUGCCCUAGAGGCAAUCAUAGAGAUGAUGAUAUUCCAUUUGUAUCCAUGAUUUAUAUAUUGUGUUCAUUGAAUAUCCAUUAAAGGCUACUUGAAUUGAUUUGCAAUUAUGUGAAUUGUAUGUGAAACUCUUUACUUGUAUGGUUAUUCUAAAGUUGUCCCUAGUCGGAGUUCAUGUGAGGACACACAUGAAUAUUAGACUAGCACAUGUAUUAGUUGAUGACUAUGUUUCACAAGUCAUGGACAUGGAGAUGUUGAACUAAUAAUGUGGACACAUGUGGAGACAUGUGCUAGGACUGAC